Molossus molossus (Pallas's mastiff bat) is the source of this 109-nucleotide small nuclear RNA. NCBI's taxonomy places the organism in Eukaryota, Metazoa, Chordata, Mammalia, Chiroptera, Molossidae. The record is from RefSeq and is a predicted model, not a curated record.
GUGCUCCCUUCAUCAGUACAUAUACUAAAACUGGAACGAUACAGAGAUUUACACGGCACCUGUGCAAGGAUGAUACGCAAAUUCGUGAAGCGAUCAUCCUCACACCUUU